GUAGAUUUAACUGCACUACAUUCUUGCUUGAGAUACUUUGUUCUAGCGCAUGAGUACAUUGAAUAUACAGGUUCCUAGAAACUAAUAAGAAAAAACAAACUAGAAAAGCACAUGGUCGUUUCUUCAUUCAAAUCUUAGCCCCAAGUCAAACAUUUUCAUUGCCACUUCGUUUGUUAUUAUUUUCAACUGCCGUGCAGCGCAGAGUGUUUGAACCCCAACCGGAUCCAAGAAUGCUUAGUGUACGUCAUUGCAGAAAUAAGAAAUAACAUCGAUUUUGAUUUACAUAUAAUGAGCUAUCAUGAGAGGAAUUCAGUUUCGAGGGGCGGAUAUUUGUCCGAAGUACACACGUUUGGAAGUGGCCUUAAUAAAGCUAAUGUUUAAUUUUUUCUCACUUCUGUGUAAAGGCGUUCAAUUAAUUGCAACACUGUGAUGAUAAUAAUAUAAAUAGACACUUUUAAUAGGUUUUCAGUAGCUGAAUGCUGCCGUUCUGCAAACGGUGUCGGCGGAUGCUUCGCCAACGAGCAGAAUUGAAUUGUUUGCCCAACUCAUUUGUAACAAUAAAGAGGAGCAGACAUGGAUGUGUGCCGACUUUUAGUGAACAUAGAUUCUAAUUGAACCCAAAAUGGCUUUAGACUAUCACUUUAUUGUGAGUGUGGGAAUUAGCAUGGCCCAUUCACAAAAAAGACAUAAUAUCUGAUAUAAUAAAAAACUUGUUUCUUUUU
This is a long non-coding RNA of Hermetia illucens (black soldier fly), 722 nucleotides long. RefSeq lists it as uncharacterized. The record is from RefSeq and is a predicted model, not a curated record. The transcript is spliced from 2 exons. Lineage: Eukaryota; Metazoa; Arthropoda; Insecta; Diptera; Stratiomyidae.